This 301-nucleotide ribosomal RNA is filed under the name Clostridioides difficile. Its description in RNAcentral is "partial 16S ribosomal RNA". It matches the Rfam family "Bacterial small subunit ribosomal RNA", at positions 1 to 310 of the family's 1533-position model. The record is from RNAcentral. Lineage: Bacteria; Bacillati; Bacillota; Clostridia; Peptostreptococcales; Peptostreptococcaceae.
UUUAUUUGAGAGUUUGAUCCUGGCUCAGGAUGAACGCUGGCGGCGUGCCUAACACAUGCAAGUUGAGCGAUUUACUUCGGUAAAGAGCGGCGGACGGGUGAGUAACGCGUGGGUAACCUACCCUGUACACACGGAUAACAUACCGAAAGGUAUGCUAAUACGGGAUAAUAUGUUUGAGAGGCAUCUCUUGAAUAUCAAAGGUGAGCCAGUACAGGAUGGACCCGCGUCUGAUUAGCUAGUUGGUAAGGUAACGGCUUACCAAGGCGACGAUCAGUAGCCGACCUGAGAGGGUGAUCGGCCA